RNAcentral lists this long non-coding RNA (723 nucleotides) under Equus asinus (donkey). RNAcentral's name for it is "lncRNA (ENSEASG00005032190.1)". The record is from RNAcentral. Lineage: Eukaryota; Metazoa; Chordata; Mammalia; Perissodactyla; Equidae.
GCCCUGUGCCCAGCCCCCGUCUGGCUGAAGGAGAGAGACCACGCCAGAGAGAGCUGAGCAGAAGAGGAGGCCACCGGGCAUGGGGGACCAACUCUAGGAGCUGCCAGCACCUACCACCGCAGGUUCCCAAGCUGUUCCUCUGCUCUGCACAGCCAGGAGCGGAGCCAGCCAAGGAGCGAGACUGGAGUCAAACCGAGAUCCAGAUGCCACGCUGGAAGCAGGAGAGGAGCUGUGGCCAGCGCUUGGCAUUUGGGGCAGCAGCUCAGCCAGCCUGGCUCCCGGGAGGAGCCUCGAGGAGGAGCCUGCUCCUGGAGCAGACAGAUAAAGAGGUGCCGGCCGAGGAAAACAUCACUACAGUCCAAACGGCAGCUGUUUCUUUGGGCGAUUAGAAUUGCAAUUCGGGAGACACAGAUGCAGGGCUGAGUUUAUUGUGGAGGCUGCAUAGCUGGUGGAUUCCUGCUUGCCUUGCACGGGCUCACCCCAUAGGAGUUCUAACAAGGAGCUGAUUUUCCAAUCUCAUUAAAGCAACACAUUAGAAUGAACAGGGCCCGGGGAGAGCGUCUGCAGCCCUGGGUUCCCGGAGCAUUUGUGGAAAGCCCACGGGCAGCAUGGGUGUCCCUAGGUCUGUGUUCUAGUCUCACACUUGUCCCCCGACUUGGGGUGUGAUCUUGGGCAAGUCGUUUGACUUCUCUGAGUCUCAGCUUUCUCCUUUGUAAAUCGUCU